RNAcentral lists this ribosomal RNA (253 nucleotides) under uncultured bacterium. Its description in RNAcentral is "partial 16S ribosomal RNA". It matches the Rfam family "Bacterial small subunit ribosomal RNA", at positions 524 to 776 of the family's 1533-position model. The record is from RNAcentral.
UACGGAGGGAGCUAGCGUUGUUCGGAUAUACUGGGCGUAAAGCGCACGUAGGCGGCGCCGUAAGUCAGGGGUGAAAUCCCGGGGCUCAACCCCGGAACUGCCCUUGAAACUGCAGUGCUAGAAUCCUGGAGAGGCGAGUGGAAUUCCGAGUGUAGAGGUGAAAUGCGCAGAUAUCGGGAGGAACACCAAUGGCGAAGGCAGCUCGCUGGGACGUUACUGACGCUGAGACGCGAAAGCGUGGGGAGCAAACAGG